CCAAUAGCUACUGAGGAGACAUUAUUGAUUCCAGAGGAGUGAGCUGCUGCUGGCUUUCAAAGCAAUGUGCACGCUCUCUCCGUCUGCCUUCUUUCCUUCUCACCCCUGUGCAUAUACUGUAGGCUGGGUGGGGCUGUGUCGGAGUGCGCAAGCACAAAGGCGCUUUUCCCCCUGCCUAUGUUUUUCCACACCAACUCCAGUCUUUGCAUGUCAAUGGAAUACUAUAUAUUCUUAAUAAACAACUUUCAGCAACGGAUCUCUUGGCUCUCGCAUCGAUGAAGAACGCAGCGAAAUGCGAUAAGUAAUGUGAAUUGCAGAAUUCAGUGAAUCAUCGAAUCUUUGAACGCACCUUGCACUUCUUGGUAUUCCGAGAAGUAUGCCUGUUUGAGUGUCGUGAACUUCUCAAUCCCAAUUUCUCUAAGUCAAGAAUUGGGCCUGGAUGGUGGAGGUGUGCCGGCCAGCCGGCUCCUCUCAAAUGUGUUAGCUUGGAUCCUGCUGCAGGACUGGCCUUUGGUGUGAUAGUGUUGUCUGCGCCACGGCUGGGAAUGCGUUGCUUGUCCCUUUUUCAAGGGGAAGGCGGGGGAUUGGCUUACAAUGUGGCAUGCACCUUCAAUGGGGGUGCUGCCUUAUCAUUCUUUUGACCUCAAAUCAGGUAGGAUUACCCGCUGACUUAACUUUAA
RNAcentral lists this ribosomal RNA (680 nucleotides) under Fragiliporia fragilis. RNAcentral describes it as "eukaryotic LSU rRNA". The stretch from base 241 to 394 matches the Rfam family "5.8S ribosomal RNA". Lineage: Eukaryota; Fungi; Basidiomycota; Agaricomycetes; Polyporales; Fragiliporiaceae. The record is from RNAcentral.